This 327-nucleotide long non-coding RNA is filed under the name Elaeis guineensis (African oil palm). RNAcentral describes it as "long non-coding RNA (EGUI_LNC029784)". Lineage: Eukaryota; Viridiplantae; Streptophyta; Magnoliopsida; Arecales; Arecaceae. The record is from RNAcentral.
ACUAAUGGUUGUUUGGCACUAUAGUACAUGUUGAGCAAUGACUACUUUUAAUAGCUUCAUCUUUAGGAGCUUCUUUCCAUUGAUCUACCAAACAAUGGAAAGAAUUUCUCUUGGGGAGGGACAAUCAAGGUGAACGAUACAACGAUGGCUAUCAUCUAUCGAGUGAAUUGGAAGAGGAGUAGAUUAAGCUACAUUAUAUCAAAUUGGGUUUGGAGUAGAGUAUAUCAUUAUCCAUACUUAAUUUAAAUUUAUUUAAGAUAUUAUAUAUAAAAUUUAUUUCUAUUUUUUAAUUUAAAUGGGUUAGAUAAAAUCAGUCAUAUUUGGAUC